Molecule: non-coding RNA, 114 nt
Organism: Acanthosepion pharaonis
Lineage: Eukaryota; Metazoa; Mollusca; Cephalopoda; Sepiida; Sepiidae
Source: the annotation of a GenBank genome assembly
UUAUGGCCAUAUCAAGUUGAAACACCAGUUCCUAUAUGAUUACUUGAGUUAAGCAAUGUCAAGCCUGGUCAGUACCUAGAUGGAUGACCACUUGGGAAUGCUAGGUGCCGUAAU